GGGCCGGGUUCGGGCGCGGAUGACCGGCCGGGCUCGGGGUGCCCGGCCGGCGCGUCGGCGUCGCGGUUCAGUGUCCGCCCCCGACCUGC
Molecule: transfer RNA, 89 nt
Filed under: Actinocatenispora sera
Lineage: Bacteria; Bacillati; Actinomycetota; Actinomycetes; Micromonosporales; Micromonosporaceae
Description: tRNA-Pro
Source: RNAcentral